This 72-nucleotide transfer RNA is filed under the name Phrynosoma platyrhinos (Desert horned lizard). RNAcentral's name for it is "tRNA-OTHER". Lineage: Eukaryota; Metazoa; Chordata; Lepidosauria; Squamata; Phrynosomatidae. The record is from RNAcentral.
UACAGAGUGAUGUAGUGGUUUGGGUGUUGGAUUAGGACUCUGGAAACCAAGGUUCAAAUCCUUGCUCAGCCA